RNAcentral lists this ribosomal RNA (306 nucleotides) under Triticum aestivum (bread wheat). Its description in RNAcentral is "partial small subunit ribosomal RNA". The record is from RNAcentral. Lineage: Eukaryota; Viridiplantae; Streptophyta; Magnoliopsida; Poales; Poaceae.
AUGCCAGAUAUCCCACACAAUGGAGUGUGUUUUGGGAUUCCAAUCCGGGUACUCAUCGAGGGGAAGGAUCCUCGUGCGCCGCUGGCGACGCAUAGGGGUUCUUUGGUUGCUGCCCACGUUCGCCCCGUCAAAUCAUGGGCCGACCAAAAAGUUGGUGACCAAAUUGCCUGCCUUGGUUUCACCAACAAUUUGGCGUUGAAUCAUAUGGAGGGAGUGCGGGCAUGGCAAGCUGGGCGUGCCAAAAAAAAUAUCAAGAGUGACCAAACAGACGCCCACGUCCCAGUCAACGCCACUAUUUUGGCUUGA